GUUAGUUAGUAGUGAUCUGGUUGAAUGGAUGGUUAGUUAGUAGUGUUCUGAUUGAAUGGAUGGGUAGUUAGUAGUAUUCUGUUUGAAUGGAUGGUUAGUUAGUAGUGUUCUGGUUGAAUGGAUAGUAAGUUAGUAGUGUUCUGGUUGAAUGGAUGCUUAGUUAGUAGAGUUCUGAUUGAAUGGAUGGGUAGUUAGUAGUAUUCUGGUUGAAUGGAUGGUUAGUUAGUAAUGUUCUGGUUGAAUGGAUAGUUAGUUAGUAGUGUUCUGGUUGAAUGGAUGGUUAGUUAGUAGUUAGUGUUCUGGUUGAAUGGAUAGUUAGUUAGUAGUGUUCUGGUUGAAUGGAUGGUUAGUUAGUAGUGUUCUGAUUGAAUGGAUGGGUAGUUAGUAGUAUUCUGGUUGAAUGGAUGGUUAGUUGGUAAUGUUGUGGUUGAAUGGAUGGUUAGUUAGUGGUGUUCUGGUUGAAUGGAUGGUUACUAGUUGGUGUUCUGGUUGUGUUCUUGUUGAAUGGAUGGUUAGUUAGUAGUGUUCUGGUUGAAUGGAUGGUUACUAGUGUUCUGGUUGAAUGGAUAGUUAGUUAGUGGAGUUCUGGUUGAAUUGAUGGUUAGUUAGUGGUGUUCUGGUUGUCUUCUGGUUGAAUGGAUGGUUAGUUAGUGGAGUUCUGGUUGAAUUGAUGGUUAGUUAGUGGUGUUCUGGUUGUGUUCUGGUUGAUUGGAUGGUUAGUUAGUGGUGUUCUGGUUGAAUGGAUGGUUAGUUAGUGGUGCUCUGGUUGAAUGGAUGGUUAGUUAUUGGUGUUUUGGAUGAUUAGUUAGUGGUGUUCUGGUUGAAUGGAUGGUUAGUUAGUGGUGUUUUGGAUGAUUAGUUAGUGGUGUUCUGGUUGAAUGGAUGGUUAGUUAGUGGUGUUUUGGAUGAUUAGUUAGU
This 918-nucleotide long non-coding RNA is filed under the name Salmo salar (Atlantic salmon). RNAcentral describes it as "lncRNA (ENSSSAG00000107816.1)". Lineage: Eukaryota; Metazoa; Chordata; Actinopteri; Salmoniformes; Salmonidae. The record is from RNAcentral.